RNAcentral lists this ribosomal RNA (459 nucleotides) under uncultured bacterium. RNAcentral's name for it is "partial 16S ribosomal RNA". It matches the Rfam family "Bacterial small subunit ribosomal RNA", at positions 338 to 795 of the family's 1533-position model. The record is from RNAcentral.
CCUACGGGUGGCAGCAGUGAGGAAUAUUGGUCAAUGGCCGAGAGGCUGAACCAGCCAAGUCGCGUGAGGGAAGACUGUCCUAUGGAUUGUAAACCUCUUUUGUCGGGGAGCAAAGUCCCCCACGUGUAGGGGAUGGAGAGUACCUGGAGAAAAAGCAUCGGCUAACUCCGUGCCAGCAGCCGCGGUAAUACGGAGGAUGCGAGCGUUAUCCGGAUUUAUUGGGUUUAAGGGGUGCGUAGGCGGUUGAUUACGUCAGCGGUAAAAUUCUGGAGCUCAAACCCAUCGAGCCGUUGAAACUGGUGUUCUAGAGUGGGCGAGAAGUAUGCGGAAUGCGUGGUGUAGCGGUGAAAUGCAUAGAUAUCACGCAGAACUCCGAUUGCGAAGGCAGCAUACCGGCGCCCGACUGACGCUCAGGCACGAAAGCGUGGGUAUCGAACAGGAUUAGAUACCCGGGUAGUC